AAGGAUUUCUUAUAAUCUCCCACACCCCCCCCCCCCCCCCCCUUCUUCCUCCCCCUUUAAGAUUAGCGUAUUCCGCAACAAAAAUUAAAAGACGCGGCACUCCAAACGCCAAAGGGAGGGAAAGAGUAUUUUAACCCUUCUGGAAUAUUAAGAGGGUUACGGGCGGGGCGGGGGUAGAAUUCCUUUGGAAAUUUGCCCUUGUGUGGGGGAUAACCCUGGGAAACGGUGGCUAAUUCCGCUUAAACCCUUCGGGUCAAAAGGGGGAACUUUGGGCCCUCCCGGUUCAAGAAUAGCCCUAGGUGGGAUUAGCUAGUUGGUGAGGUAAUGGCUCACCAAGGCGACGAUCCCUAGCUGGUUUGAGAGGAUGAUCAGCCACACUGGAAUUGAGACCCGGUCCAGACUCCUUCGGGAGGCAGCAGUGGGGAAUAUUGCCCAAUGGGCGCAAGCCUGAUGCAGCCAUCCCGCGUGGUUGAAGAAGGCCUUCGGGUUGUAAAGCACUUUCAGUCGUGAGGAAGGUAGUGUAGUUAAUAGCUGCAUUAUUUGACGUUAGCGACAGAAGAAGCACCGGCUAACUCCGUGCCAGCAGCCGCGGUAAUACGGAGGGUGCGAGCGUUAAUCGGAAUUACUGGGCGUAAAGCGCAUGCAGGUGGUUUGUUAAGUCAGAUGUGAAAGCCCGGGGCUCAACCUCGGAAUAGCAUUUGAAACUGGCAGACUAGAGUACUGUAGAGGGGGGUAGAAUUUCAGGUGUAGCGGUGAAAUGCGUAGAGAUCUGAAGGAAUACCGGUGGCGAAGGCGGCCCCCUGGACAGAUACUGACACUCAGAUGCGAAAGCGUGGGGAGCAAACAGGAUUAGAUACCCUGGUAGUCCACGCCGUAAACGAUGUCUACUUGGAGGUUGUGGCCUUGAGCCGUGGCUUUCGGAGCUAACGCGUUAAGUAGACCGCCUGGGGAGUACGGUCGCAAGAUUAAAACUCAAAUGAAUUGACGGGGGCCCGCACAAGCGGUGGAGCAUGUGGUUUAAUUCGAUGCAACGCGAAGAACCUUACCUACUCUUGACAUCCAGAGAACUUUCCAGAGAUGGAUUGGUGCCUUCGGGAACUCUGAGACAGGUGCUGCAUGGCUGUCGUCAGCUCGUGUUGUGAAAUGUUGGGUUAAGUCCCGCAACGAGCGCAACCCUUAUCCUUGUUUGCCAGCACUUUCGGGUGGGAACUCCAGGGGAGACUGCCCGGUGAUAAACCGGGAAGGAAGGUGGGGACGAACGUCAAGUCAUCAUGGGCCCUUACGAGGUAGGGCUACACACGUUGCUACAAUGGGCGCAUACAGAGGGGCCGGCCAACUUUGCGAGAGUGGAGCGAAUCCCAAAAAGUGCGGUCGUAGUCCCGGGAUCGGAGUCUGCAACUCGACUCGCCGUGAAGUCGGAAUCGCUAGUAAUCGUGGAUCAGAAUGCCACGGUGAAAUACGUUCCCGGGCCUUGUACACACCGCCCGUCACACCAUGGGAUGUGGGCUGCAAAAGAAGUAGGUAGUUUAACCUUCGGGAGGACGCUACCACUUGGUCCAUGGGGGUAGGGGUGCU
This 1575-nucleotide ribosomal RNA is filed under the name Vibrio harveyi. RNAcentral describes it as "bacterial SSU rRNA". It matches the Rfam family "Bacterial small subunit ribosomal RNA". The record is from RNAcentral. Lineage: Bacteria; Pseudomonadati; Pseudomonadota; Gammaproteobacteria; Vibrionales; Vibrionaceae.